UACAGAGGUCUCGAGCGUUAGGCGGAAUCACUGGGCUUAAAGCGUGUGUAGGCGGAUUGCUAAGUACCUUGUGAAAUCCCACGGCUUAACCGUGGAACUGCUUGGUACACUGGCUGUCUUGAGCCACUUAGGGGCAACCGGAACAAACGGUGGAGCGGUGAAAUGCGUAGAUAUCGUUUGGAACGCCAAUGGUGAAAACAGGUUGCUGGGAGUGUGCUGACGCUGAGACACGAAAGCCAGGGGAGCAAACGGG
RNAcentral lists this ribosomal RNA (253 nucleotides) under uncultured bacterium. RNAcentral's name for it is "partial 16S ribosomal RNA". It matches the Rfam family "Bacterial small subunit ribosomal RNA", at positions 524 to 776 of the family's 1533-position model. The record is from RNAcentral.